AUUGUGGCAUCUGCAGGAAAUGCUGCUCUGUGAUGCCAGGCAAAUGAAAUGGCCACGACUGGCAGGCUGUGCUGAUCAUCCAUGCUCUGACCACUGUCAGAUAAGCUCACAGGCAUCAGGUUUUGUUGAUUCCCACUGUUCACAACUGUUACUUUUUGUUUGGUGAUCCUGAACAUGCCUCAUGUAAACCUCAUCCUUUCCUUGCUAUUUCCUCAAGAGAGACAACUGCUUUCCCUGUAGCCUCUUGUUUUCAAUGCAGUUGAAAAAUUGUUCUAACACAUUGAGCCACGAGAUCAAAUUUCAUCCCAGUCUGGGGGCCUGCAUGGGCUCUCAUGAGAUGCCUCAUUGAUCCAAAGCACUCACAGUGACCUACUGGACUCUGUGCAAUAUCGGUGUCAAGGAAAUGUUCCAUCUGUGCCGUCCUGCAAACGCCCUGUCCCCACCAAGGUCAACAUCUGCAGCUCAGCCCACAAAGCUGCUGCUUGUGGGUCAAGUUCCAUGAUGCCAUCUCUGGAUUUGCACGUGAAGUGGGUGCAAAUAGACAUGUCUGGGUCUGUGCAAAGAGCACAAAGCACAUGUUGGUCUCCAGCAGCCAAAGGACAGAGGGAAGUGGGGGCUGACCUGCAUUUCUACAGCUGAAUGAUUCAAAUUUUGCUCUUAACCCUUCACAGCACAAUGGACUUAGGGCCUGAGUUCGGCCUCAGCAACUUGGUAAAGAAUCUACCUUCAGGUUGGGUUGGAAAUAUGUAAAAAUAAUGACUAAUGUUCAGCAAGAAUCUAGCAUGGAUGGGUGGGGCCCACUUUAUGAGCCAUGGACCUGCUGACUGCUGACAGAUGACCCAUUUCCCAGUGCCAGACACAAACAAUUCCCUCAGGCUGCUCGGGGACGCCAUGCACAGCGUGGGCUCUGCUUCCCGUGCUGAGCAAGGCCUCUGGCCCUCUCCUACACACAGAUACCCAGCGUCAGAUGCCCACGGGCACCCCGUGUGCUCCUCCUCUGCAGCCCCCAGGGGGAAGGGGCACAAGCUCCAUCUGCCCAGCACAGAUUCUCUUGCAAUGGUCACAAGGAAGUGUUCACUUGGAAAGAAGCAAUUUGAGUGACACUGAUGAUUUAAAGAGAGAGGAGCCGAGAAAUGAUCCUAAAGAUGGGAAAGUUGUUUACUGUGCAAGAGAAGACUGAUCCUUGGCUUCUUCAAUGCUCACAUUUUUAUUUCCCUCAUGUAUGGUAGAUGUGGGCUGUUGUUAUUCCACUUUAAAUAAAUUUUGCAGACCCUUUCCCUGGUGUAAAAGCCACAUGGCAGGGCAGGUGAGAAGUGGCCCCAGUGAUGCUGUCCUGUGGUGACAGAGAGGAGAUGAUCAGCACAGGGCUGGGAUCACCCUGGUCCAUCACUCACCAGCCACACUGCUUUAGGGGACAGGACAGCAUAGGGAGUGUCCAACCUCGAUUUUCAAUCUUUACAAGGCCAGAGGCCCUGAGUGGAGCCAGAUCUCCAGAGGGCUGAGGGCCAGGAGCCUCUGCCUUUGAGUGACCUCUGCAUUUGCCCAGGGCACCAACCCUUUUUCCUUCAGAUGAAAUUAAGUUCUUAAUCUCACCAUCCAAGUACAUGUAGAAGGCAGAGCACAAGACCAGGACCUCUCAUGGUACAACUCACAGGUUCAUGGUGUCACCAGCCUAGAGAUGAAGAGAGGAGGGAAGAGCCAGGCCAGCACUCCUCAGCAGCUUGGGGGAGUUUGGAUACAAAAGGAUCACUUCUUGAUCUCAGCUGAAGAGAAUGAAGAUGCAUGCCAGUCCCUGAAGGGACACCAAGUCCCCUGGUGAACGUUUGGCAGCAGUGAGAGGAUUCUUCAGGAUCUCAGUGUGUGAAGUCAAGAAUCCUCUUCCCCUUCCCUUAUAAAAACUCUCACUUUGAGCAUUUCUUGCUCCUGUGCACAAAAUAUCUGUGAUAAGGGUGCAGAGAGAUGCUGUGGUCACAUCUUCCUUUGGCUGACAGUGUUACCUGGUGCCAGUGUCUGGAAGUCAGCAAACAGGACUGAUUCAAAUGGUGUGAGAGUGGAACAGACAGACAGACAGACAUCCUGUUUGGCAGUGCCAUCAUCUGAACUGAUGUCAAUUACUGGGAGCACGUUUUUAGGAUUAGCACAGCCCUGGGGAGGGAAGGGUGUGGGCUGCUGCUACAUUCUCCAGUUGGAGCAAUCUCAGAGCUCUUCCAGCUGCAGUGAGGAAUGACUACAGCAAGAUGUGGAGGAGAUUGCUGUUGAUGCUCCUCCCCAAAGCCACCGAGGUUCAAUAAACAGCUUCUGCAAAGCCUUCAGAAACUUUU
This is a long non-coding RNA of Passer domesticus (house sparrow), 2321 nucleotides long. RefSeq lists it as uncharacterized. The record is from RefSeq and is a predicted model, not a curated record. The transcript has 5 exons. NCBI's taxonomy places the organism in Eukaryota, Metazoa, Chordata, Aves, Passeriformes, Passeridae.